RNAcentral lists this ribosomal RNA (1333 nucleotides) under uncultured bacterium. RNAcentral describes it as "bacterial SSU rRNA". It matches the Rfam family "Bacterial small subunit ribosomal RNA", at positions 23 to 1368 of the family's 1533-position model. The record is from RNAcentral.
CUCAGGAUGAACGCUGGCGGCGUGCUUAACACAUGCAUGUCGAACGAAGCACCUUGAGAUCUUCGGAAGGAAAGGUGACUGAGUGGCGGACGGGUGAGUAACGCGUGGGUAACCUGCCUCAUACAGGGGGAUAACAGUUAGAAAUGACUGCUAAUACCGCAUAAGCGCACGAUACCGCAUGGUAUUGUGUGAAAAACUCCGGUGGUAUGAGAUGGACCCGCGUCUGAUUAGCUAGUUGGUGGGGUAACGGCCUACCAAGGCGACGAUCAGUAGCCGACCUGAGAGGGUGACCGGCCACAUUGGGACUGAGACACGGCCCAAACUCCUACGGGAGGCAGCAGUGGGGAAUAUUGCACAAUGGGCGAAAGCCUGAUGCAGCGACGCCGCGUGAGCGAAGAAGUAUUUCGGUAUGUAAAGCUCUAUCAGCAGGGAAGAAAAUGACGGUACCUGACUAAGAAGCACCGGCUAAAUACGUGCCAGCAGCCGCGGUAAUACGUAUGGUGCAAGCGUUAUCCGGAUUUACUGGGUGUUAAGGGAGCGUAGACGGCUGUGCAAGUCUGAUGUGAAAACCCGGGGCUCAACCCCGGGACUGCAUUGGAAACUGUGCAGCUAGAGUGCCGGAGAGGUAAGCGGAAUUCCUAGUGUAGCGGUGAAAUGCGUAGAUAUUAGGAGGAACACCAGUGGCGAAGGCGGCUUACUGGACGGUAACUGACGUUGAGGCUCGAAAGCGUGGGGAGCAAACAGGAUUAGAUACCCUGGUAGUCCACGCCGUAAACGAUGACUACUAGGUGUCGGGCAGCAAAGCUGUUCGGUGCCGCAGCAAACGCAAUAAGUAUUCCACCUGGGGAGUACGACCGCAAGGUUGAAACUCAAAGGAAUUGACGGGGGCCCGCACAAGCAGUGGAUUAUGUGGUUUAAUUCGACGCAACGCGAAGAACCUUACCAGGGUUUGACAUCCAACUAACGAAGUAGAGAUACAUUAGGUGCCCUUCGGGGAAAGUUGAGACAGGUGGUGCAUGGUUGUCGUCAGCUCGUGUCGUGAGAUGUUGGGUUAAGUCCCGCAACGAGCGCAACCCCUAUUGUUAGUUGCUACGCAAGAGCACUCUAGCGAGACUGCCGUUGACAAAACGGAGGAAGGCGGGGACGACGUCAAAUCAUCAUGCCCCUUAUAUCCUGGGCUACACACGUAAUACAAUGGUGGUUAACAGAGGGAAGCAAUAGAGCGAUCUGGAGCAAAUCCCUAAAAGCCAUCUCAGUUCGGAUUGCAGGCUGCAACUCGCCUGCAUGAAGCUGGAAUUGCUAGUAAUCGCGGAUCAGCAUGCCGCGGUGAAUA